AGACUCCUACGGGAGGCAGCAGUAGGGAAUCUUCGGCAAUGGGGGCAACCCUGACCGAGCAACGCCGCGUGAGUGAAGAAGGUUUUCGGAUCGUAAAGCUCUGUUGUAAGUCAAGAACGGGUGUGAGAGUGGAAAGUUCACACUGUGACGGUAGCUUACCAGAAAGGGACGGCUAACUACGUGCCAGCAGCCGCGGUAAUACGUAGGUCCCGAGCGUUGUCCGGAUUUAUUGGGCGUAAAGCGAGCGCAGGCGGUUUGAUAAGUCUGAAGUUAAAGGCUGUGGCUCAACCAUAGUUCGCUUUGGAAACUGUCGAACUUGAGUGCAGAAGGGGAGAGUGGAAUUCCAUGUGUAGCGGUGAAAUGCGUAGAUAUAUGGAGGAACACCGGUGGCGAAAGCGGCUCUCUGGCCUGUAACUGACACUGAGGCUCGAAAGCGUGGGGAGCAAACAGGAUUAGAUACCCUGGUAGUCCACGCCGUAAACGAUGAGUGCUAGAUGUAGGGAGCUAUAAGUUCUCUGUAUCGCAGCUAACGCAAG
RNAcentral lists this ribosomal RNA (536 nucleotides) under uncultured Streptococcus sp. RNAcentral's name for it is "bacterial SSU rRNA". It matches the Rfam family "Bacterial small subunit ribosomal RNA", at positions 333 to 861 of the family's 1533-position model. Lineage: Bacteria; Bacillati; Bacillota; Bacilli; Lactobacillales; Streptococcaceae. The record is from RNAcentral.